This 88-nucleotide transfer RNA is filed under the name Termitomyces sp. T159_Od127. RNAcentral's name for it is "tRNA-Ala". It matches the Rfam family "tRNA". From Rfam's summary of the family: Transfer RNA (tRNA) molecules are approximately 80 nucleotides in length. Their secondary structure includes four short double-helical elements and three loops (D, anti-codon, and T loops). Further hydrogen bonds mediate the characteristic L-shaped molecular structure. tRNAs have two regions of fundamental functional importance: the anti-codon, which is responsible for specific mRNA codon recognition, and the 3' end, to which the tRNAs corresponding amino acid is attached (by aminoacyl-tRNA synthetases). tRNAs cope with the degeneracy of the genetic code in two manners: having more than one tRNA (with a specific anti-codon) for a particular amino acid; and 'wobble' base-pairing, i.e. permitting non-standard base-pairing at the 3rd anti-codon position. Lineage: Eukaryota; Fungi; Basidiomycota; Agaricomycetes; Agaricales; Lyophyllaceae. The record is from RNAcentral.
GGGCACUUGGCACAGUUGGUAGCGCGCACGCUUCGCAUUUUCCUUUAGUGAUUGCGUGAGGUCGUGAGUUCAAUUCUCACAGUGUCCA